AGAGAGAGAGAGAGAGAGAGAGAGAGAGAGAGAGAGAGAGAGAGAGAGAGAGAGAGAGAGAGAGAGAGAAACACACACACACACACACACACACACAUACAGUCAGACGGUGUUAUACCUUAGAGACGUAAAGACCACCUCUCCAACUACUACUACUACUACUGCUACUACUACUACUACUGCUACUACUACUACAGACAGUUGAUUAAGAAUACGAACAAAGAAAUAACAAAGAAGAAAAAAAGAACAAGAAAUAGAUUUGGAAGUGUUAGAGAAGAGGGUGAUUGACUGACGAAGAAGAAGAAGAAGAAGAAGAAGAAGAAGAAGAAGAAGAAGAAGAAGAAGAUGUUUGAUUAAGUAAUUAAGUAUUGGCUCUGCUACUAAAACAACAACAACAACAACAACAACAACAACAACACCCUCCUGCUUCGCCCCCGUCAGCGCCUCCUUCACCAUGAGACUAGGAUGGCUCACAAAGACGUGGAUAGUGGCUGGAAUAGCGAGUGGGGUAGUGACGAUUACCAGUGCACCACCACCACCACCACCAUCACCACUAUCACCUCACCGGGCAGAAGACGGGACAUACACCGGAUAUCUCGCCAGUCUGCCACUUCAGAACUCCUGGAAACAAUCUAAGGACAUCUCCAGCACUAAAUUCCCGCCAGUGAACGAAAAUAUAAGAGAAAGAGACGAGAAACAAGAGAUCAUUGAGUCUCUUUUUGAUCUUCACAAAAACACGAGUCCUUUUCCAGAAACUUCAUUUUUGGAUUCCUCAAAUACUCCUUCUGUUAAAACUCUUAUUGGCACCCGCUUCAAUGCUCCUUCUAUUCCAAAAACUCCAUUCUUAGCUCCUCAAGAUACUUCUAUUAAAACUCCUUCUGUCCUAAAUACUCCUAUUAAAACUCCUACUAAUAUUGCUCAGAAUGAUCCUUCUAUUACUCCCAUUAAAACUCCUUUCGUUACUCUUCAAAACACUUCUUUAUAUAUCCCUUCAAGUUCUCCUUCAAAAACUCCUUCUGUCUCUCCUUCAGCGUCUUAUGGGCAAAACUUUCGUCAGUCUUCAGAUCCUCUUCAAAACACACCUUCUCUACCAUACAUCCUUUCAGUUUCUCCUCCUUAUGAACAAAACUUUCGUCAGUCUUCAAAUCCACUUCAAAACACAGCUCCUCUACCACAUGUUCCUUCAGUUCCUCCUCCUGCUGUCACUUCGGCGCUACAUCAACAAAACUUUAGCGAGCAGGCGACUCAAUCUGUACUAGGCUAUCAUCUUCCUCCCCUUCUGUAUUCUAAUCCCUUGACUAAAAUCGAUAAAACUCGCGGUAAGAGCAAGGAUUCCCUCUUGAUCUACGCCUUGGAUAUCGCAAGAACAGUGACAGCAGCAAAGAUAGAGAAUAAAAUGAAAAAACAAAGAAAUAACUCUGGAAUUCAAGGAAGAGAUUUUCCUCUCUUUGGUUUCCUGUCCUUUCUAAUGUUGUUACUUAAUAGCCUCCUUCUUAUCGUCCAGAACGUGAACAUCAACAACAAUAACAAUAAUAACAAUGAUAACAACAAUAAUAACAAUAAUAACAAUGAUAAUGACGGUACUGCAAGAGGCUAUGCUGGGAGAUUAGGAGGCUGGGAAAUUCUUCAUGUUAUUCGUAAUGUAAGCACGCAAUAUGACUUGUAAUGGAGGAUAUUGUGACUUGUAAAAUAUAAGUAACAAAUAAAACUCAUUGAC
Long non-coding RNA from Scylla paramamosain (green mud crab), 1717 nucleotides. RefSeq lists it as uncharacterized. The record is from RefSeq and is a predicted model, not a curated record. NCBI's taxonomy places the organism in Eukaryota, Metazoa, Arthropoda, Malacostraca, Decapoda, Portunidae. The transcript has 2 exons.